UACGUAGGGUGCGAGCGUUAAUCGGAAUUACUGGGCGUAAAGCGUGCGCAGGCGGCUUUGCAAGACAGAUGUGAAAUCCCCGGGCUCAACCUGGGAACUGCAUUUGACUGCAAGGCUAGAGUACGGCAGAGGGGGAUGGAAUUCCGCGUGUAGCAGUGAAAUGCGUAGAUAUGCGGAGGAACACCAAUGGCGAAGGCAAUCCCCUGGGCCUGUACUGACGCUCAUGCACGAAAGCGUGGGGAGCAAACAGG
RNAcentral lists this ribosomal RNA (251 nucleotides) under uncultured bacterium. RNAcentral describes it as "partial 16S ribosomal RNA". It matches the Rfam family "Bacterial small subunit ribosomal RNA", at positions 524 to 776 of the family's 1533-position model. The record is from RNAcentral.